RNAcentral lists this ribosomal RNA (155 nucleotides) under Thanatephorus cucumeris. Its description in RNAcentral is "5.8S ribosomal RNA". It matches the Rfam family "5.8S ribosomal RNA". From Rfam's summary of the family: 5.8S ribosomal RNA (5.8S rRNA) is a component of the large subunit of the eukaryotic ribosome. It is transcribed by RNA polymerase I as part of the 45S precursor that also contains 18S and 28S rRNA. The record is from RNAcentral. Lineage: Eukaryota; Fungi; Basidiomycota; Agaricomycetes; Cantharellales; Ceratobasidiaceae. RNAcentral also lists the same sequence under 5 other names.
UAAGUUUCAACAACGGAUCUCUUGGCUCUCGCAUCGAUGAAGAACGCAGCGAAAUGCGAUAAGUAAUGUGAAUUGCAGAAUUCAGUGAAUCAUCGAAUCUUUGAACGCACCUUGCGCUCCUUGGUAUUCCUUGGAGCAUGCCUGUUUGAGUAUCA